Long non-coding RNA from Vespula vulgaris, 4494 nucleotides. RefSeq lists it as uncharacterized. The transcript is spliced from 3 exons. The record is from RefSeq and is a predicted model, not a curated record. Lineage: Eukaryota; Metazoa; Arthropoda; Insecta; Hymenoptera; Vespidae.
GUGAUUUUAAUAAUAUUUCAAUAGAUUUCGACAUUCGAAAUAAGAUAUGACUCAUUGUUAUGUAAGUGUACGUGAAUAAACAAUCUUAAUUCUUCGAAAUAAGGUAUGACUCAUCAUCAUGUAUGUGUACGCGAGUAAACAAUCUAGGUCACGUUGUUUAUAGACCGGUCGGAUCCUGUUGGAUUUAUUACGUAUGAGUAAUUAGAUACCAGUAAACAUUCCUUUGUGUUAUAUCGGAGAACGCGUAGAAGCUUCAUUUCAGUUUAAACAUUUGUUGUGUUAAGACGUAUAUCUGUAAUUUGGUGUCUUCAAAUAUAAAAGCCGUGGAAGCGUUAAAAGAGUAUUUUCUCGACGAACGACGGUACUGUUAUGUGUAAUCUUUUGACGGACUCGACCAUCAAGAGAAUGAAAAUUGAAGAGGUUCUUGCAAACUAAAGAAUGGAACGAGAUGGAGUAUAUGCGAGAACAAAUUUUGGAACGAACAAUCUGGAGCAGAAAGAAAAGCGGAAAUGUAAAAAUUAUCGAAAUAUCUCGGAAAUGAAGUUCGUGCGAGCUUUCUUUUAAAUAUUUUCAUUCAUUCAUUUUAAGUAGUUCUCACAUUUUACAGAAAUAUUCUCUAUUGGAAUCAUUGUAUCGAAAUUAUAUGAAAUAUUGUAAUCCAUUUUCGAUCUCCCUCUAUCGCUUUCUUUUUUUUUUCUUCUGUUAUGGUCACCUUUGUUGAGAAGAGCUGAACAGAAUUGGGUUCGAAGUAGGACGUUAAUAAAACCAGAGCUUUAAUUGCUGAAUUCCCCAUUGAUUAAUGGCUCUUCGAGACAGUCGGGGAAAGAGAUGGAUGGUACUUCGAACGACUCGACGAUUUUAAAGAGGAACAUACUAGUUCUCGUUUCUCCCCGACGUUUCAACUUAUUAACUUAUUCUCUGUUUUAAUAAAUUAUUAUUUUCAAUAAACAUUUAUAUAAACAUAUGUACACAUAUAAUAUAUACAUAAAUGUAACAUACACAUACACAUAUACACACAUACACACAUAUACAUAUAUAUAUGUGUGUAUAUGUUGUUUUAACGAACAAAGAUAACAUUAUCGAACAAACAAUAGGGGCAACGAGCAAACGGUGUUCGUGAUACACCCUUUCCGGCAGCUGCAUCUGUUUAUAAUGACGCGAAAACGUGGUAACGAGACACGUAUUAAAAGCGAACGAUACGAAAUGAAGAGAGAACAGGAGAAAAACGUGAAAGAGGAUGAGUAUAAAGAGAGAGAGAGAGAGAGAGAGAGAGAGAGGAGAAAUCGCGGAUAAUAAUUUAGAUAGCGGCGUUGGAGACGAUCCCAUUUUCUGCAACAGACAUAACGGCUUUGCUUUCCCAGGCGGAACAAUCGCGUCGUCCUCCCCUUUGCUUUCUUGGCGAGAGCCUGAUACCGCUAGGAGAGUCACAUAACUGUCACAAGGGUGGCGUGAUUCACGUGAAAGAUGGCACUCGACCCGAUACAUUUACGGUCCUACUCGGCGCCAUAAUUUUAUUGUCGCCGGUUAGUCUUUACCAAGCAUAGAACACGCCUCUUCUGGAACGACAUUACUGACGAAUAUCUACUGACUUUUCCUAAUCAACUCCUAAAUCUUCCUAUGAAAGGGGCAUCACCGGUGAUAGAGGCAAGAAGCGGUUCGUCGACAGCGAUUUCCAUGUCAGCGGAUUUUCGAUAUACAUCGGAAAUGAAAGCUAUGCAGCGUAGAUGCAGCCGGCCGUUUUGAAACAUGUCGUUGGUGAUUUUAAAUUCUAUAUGCGACUUGGUCUUUACGGUGUCGUCCUCUUGUGAGAUCGAAUGGGGUUGAAUCCAAAAGUGUGAGCUGUUGUUUGUAAUCUGUGAAUAUAAUACAAACGAAUUUAAAAGAAACAAAUAAUUGAAUUACAUACUUUUCUGUAUUUAAACUUAUCAAUUCGAUGUAUCGUAUAUAUCAUAUUCUUUAAUCAAGAACAAAUGUAACAAGAGCGAGGAGCAUUGGGAAUAAAAAAGUCUCCGUUUCGUGCACUUUUAUUAUGAAACAUCGUCGCGAGAUCGACUCCCAUUUUCUUCGGGAAGUAAGAAAGAAAGGGCAAAGGAAUAGUAGAGAAAAUGGUAGGCGAGUAUCUCUCGGCGUUAUUACUUCGGGGAACAAACGAGACUAUGCAUCAAGUCCGUGGACUCGCGAUGACGCGAGACCAGAGGACGCAUCCAUAAAGCAUAAAGCAUAAAGCUCGUGCCAUCGUGUUGCCCAUCUCCUUUCGUAACAACCAUCUCUACCCUUUCACAUCUCUCUUUCUCUCUUCUACUCGUCCUCUUUUUCGUUCACUUCGCGCUUACGUUGCGUAUUUCAGCGCGUAGGCAGGAACAUAGAGGAAUGGAAGGCUUCUCUAUAAAGCGUCAUCUCGUCGCGUUACGAUGCCAGACAGAGAGAAAAAGAGAAAGAGAGAGAGAGAGAGAAAUCGUGUUCCGCCAUUUGGCACACUCGAAAGUUGGUUAAGUUAAAUCGGAGCUAUGCUAGGUAUUAGAAAAGGAAAAGAGAUCUAGUAGAUGUACUAUAAAAUGCAGACAGAGAAUUUCCUUCUUCUUCUCAAGAUGACUCACGAUGAAAUACUAUCGAAACGUUUCAGAAAGAAAAGGCGGUAUCAGUGAACGGAAAUAUCGAAUCUCUACUACUAUUGCUAUAUACUUCUUAUGUCAAUCCAUAAUGCAUCAAUAUCGACAUGUCGUUAGUUCAGUUAAGAAUUGUUGAGAGACAUAAUAUCCGAGAGAUAUAUCGGUUCUUUCAUUUUAUUUCAUUUUAUUUUUCAUUUUAGUUUCAUACACGGAAUGCUUUCAAUCAUAUCAAAUUUUUGACAAACUCCAAGUUAUCCCUCGAUUCUUUUCCUCAAUUUUGAUUUCUCUUGAAGUAUAUUUACAAAAAUUCUCGGUUCUGGAAGGUAAAAGAAAAAGAGUGGGAGAGAGAAAGAGAGAAACCAACGGACAGAGAUCACAUUUUCAGGGAAAGUAAUAAAGAGUGAAGAUGUCGGAUGAGAGUUUAGAAGUCGAAGAAAGAUAGAGACGGAGAGGAAACUCUCUCUCUCUCUCUUUCUUUCUCCUUUUUUCUCGACUUUAUUGCUUCGAGUAAGGUACGAAACCUUGUAUCCUGUACGACGAUGACGUCGAAAUACUACUAGCUGCGUUCAUAAAAUGCAAGGAACGAAACUGCUAUUGCCGCCAUUUCUGCCACUGAUGCUGUCUACCCUUCUGCAUAAUCCAUCUCUCUUUUUCUUUCUUUCUCCCUUCCUCUCUUUCUCCUUUUUUUCAUCCUUUUUUCAUCGUUCGCAAUCACGUACGGCUAGAGAAUACGGCAAGAGAAUAAGAGCAAGAGAGAAAAACAGAGAGAAAGGGAUACACGCACGUUGACUUUUAUCUAUAUGACUGUGUGUGCACGUCUUCAUUCACUCUCCGACACAUAUUUAUCUUCCUUCAAUGUGUUCUCAGUGUUUCCCUGGUAAUCCUUCAUUCUCAUAAUGUGUUCGUAAGCCGAGUUUUAGAUAGCUACAUACAGUCCUGCUGAUUCAUGUAACUCUUAAAGUUCAUUUAAUUUAUCGGCGCUUGUUUAUUUUCAUUCGAUAGAUAUUCUUGUUUAUUUAUUUUUGUUUAUUACUCUUGUAUAUGUGUAUAUAUAUGUAUGUAUAUAUACGUAAUGUGUAUGUAUAUAUAUAUAUAUAUAUGUAUAUAUUCAAAAAGGAAACAUCAUCGUCUCUUGUUUUCCAUCGAAAUAUGGAUAGCAUAAAUGUUUGCAAUUUACAAAUACCCGGAUAUAUAUUUACUUAAAGUAUUUAUUAGCAAAUAUUUGUAGGAUUCAUGAAAAAAGUUGAACCAGCGUUUCCAAAUCUCAAAAGCCUGGUCAAAAUCUCAAAAAUGAAAUAUUUAAAUUUAGAGUUUUGAAACGUUGUUCAAAAGCGCAAGUGACGUUCAUUCGAGCACGUAUAUCUGCGUGAGAAUAAGGAAACAAAGCUUGCUUCGUUAACAAUUAACUCGUUAAUAAUAUUGUUGGAAGUGCAUCAAAUUUUAUUCUGGAAAAUGGAAAAUACUUUUGAAAGUAAAUACAAUUUAUAUAAUGCUUAGGAAAAAGUCAUAAUUAUAAAGCGUAAUAUAAUAAUUUAGUAACGCUUUUGCGUAAAAAUUCAUAUAAAGAAUUCUGUGUACAUUACGAAGAAUAAUAAAAAAUUUAUGCCAGUUGCAAACCGCUACAAAAGAGAAGACUCAGGCUUUUAGCUAAAUACUAUAUACAAUUUAAAAAAAUCAAUAAAAAUUGACUCUAGAAAGAUAUUGAAUUCUAACGAAAGUUUGUAUAGAUAUUAUUAACACGAUGUUUAGAAUGCGAUAAUUAGAUGUAAUUAAAAAAAAAUAUUAAAUUUAAUUCAAACUUUGUAUAUUAAGAUUUUUUGGGUUGUAGAUUACGAUAUUUUUUAAAUAUAUUAUAUAUCAUGAUCAUAAUCAGCGAUAUCGAAAA